CCUACGGGUGGCAGCAGUGAGGAAUAUUGGUCAAUGGGCGGAAGCCUGAACCAGCCAAGUCGCGUGAGGGAUUAAGGCCCUGCGGGUCGUAAACCUCUUUUGCCGGGGAGCAGAGGUCCGGACGUGUCCGGGCCGGGAGAGUACCCGGAGAAAAAGCAUCGGCUAACUCCGUGCCAGCAGCCGCGGUAAUACGGAGGAUGCGAGCGUUAUCCGGAUUUAUUGGGUUUAAGGGGAGCGUAGGCCGCAUGUCAAGCGUGCUGUGAAAUGUCCGGGCUCAACCCGGGCCUUGCAGCGCGAACUGGCGUGCUUGAGUCCGCGGAAAGCAGGCGGAAUUCGUCGUGUAGCGGUGAAAUGCUUAGAUAUGACGAAGAACCCCGAUUGCGAAGGCAGCUUGCUGCAGCGGAACUGACGCUGAUGCUCGAAAGCGCGGGUAUCGAACAGGAUUAGAUACCCGAGUAGUC
RNAcentral lists this ribosomal RNA (461 nucleotides) under uncultured bacterium. RNAcentral's name for it is "partial 16S ribosomal RNA". It matches the Rfam family "Bacterial small subunit ribosomal RNA", at positions 338 to 795 of the family's 1533-position model. The record is from RNAcentral.